RNAcentral lists this unclassified non-coding RNA (394 nucleotides) under Hevea brasiliensis (rubber tree). The record is from RNAcentral. Lineage: Eukaryota; Viridiplantae; Streptophyta; Magnoliopsida; Malpighiales; Euphorbiaceae.
CAACACACAGCAUGCCAUCACCAUGAUAUUCAAUGGCAGAGUUAUAAAAUUCUCUAACAACAUCUUUUAUGACAAAUCCAACAGCAUAUAAUAGAAAACAGGACCAGACACAUAAACCGGAACUAGGUUUCCAACAACACACAAGAGUACCACCAAAUAACUCCUAAAAACAGCGCUACAAAAUAUACUAGAAAAAGAUCCAACCACCAAAAGUCAGAUCAUCUCUCCCACACAACUCAGCAAAGGUUAAACCAUCUCUCCAGACCAAGAAGUUUCACACCUACUCAAUGAGAUCAUCAUCAUCAUCCGGAAGGGGUUGCAACAUAGCCCUUUGUAACUCCGCCUCAUGCUGUUGUUGUGCCACAAGGUCAAUCUGAACCUCAGGUGGAGCCAG